Molecule: ribosomal RNA, 426 nt
Filed under: uncultured bacterium
Lineage: Bacteria
Description: partial 16S ribosomal RNA
Rfam family: Bacterial small subunit ribosomal RNA
Source: RNAcentral
GUGAGGAAUUUUCCGCAAUGGGCGAAAGCCUGACGGAGCAAUGCCGCGUGAAGGAUGAAGGCCUAUGGGUUGUAAACUUCUUUUCUCAGAAAAGAAUUAUGACGGUAUCUGAGGAAUAAGCAUCGGCUAACUCUGUGCCAGCAGCCGCGGUAAGACAGAGGAUGCAAGCGUUAUCCGGAAUGAUUGGGCGUAAAGCAUCUGUAGGUUGUUUAAAAAGUAUUCUGUCAAAGAUUAGGGCUUAACCCUAGAUAGGCAGAAUAAACUUUUAAGCUAGAGUUUGGUAGAGGCAGAGGGAAUUCCCGGUGGAGCGGUGAAAUGCGUAGAUAUCGGGAGGAACACCAAAGGCGAAGGCACUCUGCUGGGCCAAUACUAACACUGAGAGACGAAAGCGAGGGGAGCAAAUGGGAUUAGAAACCCCAGUAGUCC